RNAcentral lists this long non-coding RNA (3574 nucleotides) under Brassica napus (rape). RNAcentral describes it as "long non-coding RNA (BNAP_LNC018208)". The record is from RNAcentral. Lineage: Eukaryota; Viridiplantae; Streptophyta; Magnoliopsida; Brassicales; Brassicaceae.
AUAUUACAAAAGAACAUACGUUUUUCCUCUCGUACACAUCUGAUUCAAGCACCACAAAAAAGAAUUUCAAUUCAUGGGAUAAACAAAAAAAGAGAUUGUCUUGAUCUUGAAAACACAAAAAAUACAACAAAGGAUUGCAGGUCUUCAUCCUUUGUCUUCAGAUCAAGUAAUCACCAUGAAUUGGAAAGAUGUGUUAGGAGUUAUAGAUCUUGUAGCAUACACCUGCAAUAAUAAUAUAAUCAAACGAUGGCAAAUAACAAGACAUACAACAACCAAUACGUAUAAAGAGAAGCAACAUGUUAGAUACAAAAAUGACCAGAGAUCUAAGAUGACUUACUAACCUUACUAAUUAGAUUGUGAGUCAUGGAAGAGAGGAACAUGCUGAUAUAUAUCCGGUUCAAACUCCAUGUCCACAACAUAUUCUUCAUCAUCUUCAGACUCAAAGUCAUCAUCAUAUAGAUCUCUUACCCUUGGAGCUUGGGUUACAAGCAGCAAAUUAAGAUCACUAUCCAUCUCUUCUACACGGCCUACAAGCCAUUCUUCCACUGUAUCUUCAUUACCAUCAUCGAAUAUCACAUCAGCAUUUUGCUCUCUGAUUUUUUUCUGCUUCUUAAACAUCUUUGCGUUGAAUUGCACAUAGACUAAGCUAUUUAAGCGAUUGACAUCCAGCCUGUUUCUUUUUUUUGUGUGAAUCUGUAAUAAAAGAGUAAUGAAUUUCAGCAAUAAUAUCACAUUUUUAGAGAAAAAAAACUAAUAAACUAACCCCUUCAAAGCAGCUCCAGUUUCUUUCACAUCCGGAAGAGCUUGACGUCAAAGCAAGGAUCCUUGUAGCCAUCUUUUGAAGAGUUGGUGUACCACAUCCGUAUGUGGACCACCAAUUCCCUACGAUCAAUUCAGUCACAUAUGAUGAAUAAAUAUCUGAAGUUAAUGAAAACAAAUAAUAUGAACAUACAAACCUGGAUCAAAUUUGUCAUUCUUAAUCUCACAUCCUUUCAGUGCUAAAGGUCUGCCAAAUGAGCCACUUUUGUUCUUGUAAAAAUUGAUCUCGUGAUUCACAACUUUAUCUUGUUUCUCAAAGUCGCCAUGAUAGAAAGUCUCAGCACAAGCUAUGAAUCCAUCCAUGAUCUUAAAAUCACUUAGAAUUUCUGGAUCUUUGUAGAAAUAAUAAGGAUUGAGGAAGUAGGCAGCAACAUGCAAAGGACAAUCUAACCUAUCUUUCAUUUUCUCAUCAAUGAUCCGAAAGAUAGGUAGGUAGUUUUUCUCCACAUGAUUUGAAGUUUCCUUGAUAGACUUCUUAGCUUCGACAAUCUCACCAUAAAUGAAUCCAAGAGAAGGUACUUUCUCUCCAUCAGCCAGCCUUAGAACCUUCACUAAAGGACUGAAGAUCCUCAACACAACCGUCACACUACUCCAAAAGCCAUGACUCAUAAUUGUAUCAAACGUACUUUUACCCUUCACACACUUUGAGUGCUUACAGUCAUGCCAUUCAUCGCUGCCGAACAUGCUCAUCAGUUGUGCCUUCUUCUCGUAUAGGCUUUGCAAAGUCAAAAAGCAAGUUGCAAAUCUUGUUGCUCCUGGUCUCACGAUAUCUCCUUUCUUUGUAUAUGUUCUCAUCAUGGACAGUGUUGUAUGAUGAGCAUAUACAAAGAUAGUAACAGCCUUUGCUUGAUCAAUUAUCUUUGCAAUACCAGGAAGUUUGGAAAUGGCCUCAAGCAUCAAAUCUAAAGUGUGAGCAGCACAACCUGUCCAGAUAUCCUUGGUCUCUUCUGUUUCAGCAUCUUCGCAGCUGCCACGUUGUUUGUAGCAUUAUCAGUGACCACUUGCACUAUUUUUUCAGCUCCAAUAUCUUCAAUCCACUGGUCAAUGUAUUUGAAGAUGUACUCACCCGUGUGAGAAUCCUUAGAAGUGUCUUUUGAUGAAAGAAAACAUGUACCUCCCCUUGAGUUGACACACAGAUUCAUUAUGCUUCUUCUCUUCAUAUCAGUCCAUGCAUCUGUCAUCACUGAGCAGCCUUCUCUAUCCCAUUCUUCUUCUAGACUCUUCAACUUUUCCUUGGUCCUUUGUUGUUCCUCAUUUAACAAUGGCUCUCUAAGCUGAUACUGACUUGGAGGAACCCAACCAGGCCCAAACUGUCCCAACGCUUCACAAAACAUCCUGAAACUGUCGUUGUCAAUAGCGUUGAAAGCAAUAUUUGCCUCAUAAAUCCAUCUAGAACAGUAUUGACGGACUGCAUGUGUCCUCUCCUUAGAUAUGGCAUCAUGGAUACUCUGUUGUCGUGUUUGUGCCGCCAAAGAAGCUUCAGGGUUAAUGGAGGUUGCAUACUUAUCAAUAGGACCUUGGAAGUGAGGACUUUUAAGAGUUCCCAACUCUUUUUCCAGUUCCUCAGUAUUGAUGUCCUUGUAUAUGUUCACCUCUGCCCUCAAUGCUUGAUCAUGUUUCCUUUUCAAAUUCUUCUUCUCUUUUGCAUCAAGAAUUGCCUGCUUACACUUCUCUUGAUCCGCUUUAGAUGAAACAGGGCAGGGUGAGACAUUCCCUUUCACAUGAGCAAUGUGUUCUUUCAUCCUGAAAACACCACCAGAGAACUGUUUUCCACACAACUUGCAUUUGACUUUGUCUGAAUUUCUCGGAUCACAUAAGACUCCAAAUUCCCAUCCCACAUCAUUUGAAUUUCGCUUCAGAGAAGGAGGUGCUGCAUCUGUUGGUGGGUUGUUCAUCCUUUUGAACCUUAAAAAAAAUUAAACACAAUAAACUUUAACACUGAGUAGUUUCAGAACUCAACCUUCCCCAAAACUGAUUCUGAGUUUUUGUUUUUGUGUAUACAAGAACUACAGUAAGUAUGAGUUUUCAAUCUUGAGUCAAUUAUAUAUACGAAAAAGAAACAGAAAGACGAUUAUUACCUUGAAUUCACGAACAGAGGAUGGUUGUCAACUAGAUUCAGCUUCACUUCGUCUCCAAGGUGGAGAUCACAUGGGAUACUCUGCGUAUUACUCUGCCCAAACUUCUAAUCCGUUGGUCCUGUGAACAAUACACAUUUACUCAUCUCUCAGUAUGCACCAUCUUUCUAUUUUUAUUUUUAGAAUUUUAUAGUCGUUUUGCUAUUAAAAACCUCUGUUUGAAACUACGCUAAGCGUGAAUCGGACGCUCGGUCCGGGUCUAGCGAGUUACAAAAAAAUCGGGGAGUACGCGGGGUGUACGCAGAGCCUAGUUUUUAACAUAAUUUAAUAUAUUUUUAAUAUGUUUAGAGAACAAAAAUUAUAAUAAAAGUUUUAAUACAUGCUUUUAUAAAUAUUACAAAAGAACAUACGUUUUUCCUCUCGUACACAUCUGAUUCAAGCACCACAAAAAAGAAUUUCAAUUCAUGGGAUAAACAAAAAAAGAGAUUGUCUUGAUCUUGAAAACACAAAAAAUACAACAAAGGAUUGCAGGUCUUCAUCCUUUGUCUUCAGAUCAAGUAAUCACCAUGAAUUGGAAAGAUGUGUUAGGAGUUAUAGAUCUUGUAGCAUACACCUGCAAUAAUAAUAUAAUCAAACGAUGGCAAAUAACAAGACAUACAACAACCAAUACGUAUAAAGAG